RNAcentral lists this ribosomal RNA (542 nucleotides) under uncultured archaeon. Its description in RNAcentral is "bacterial SSU rRNA". It matches the Rfam family "Bacterial small subunit ribosomal RNA", at positions 509 to 1050 of the family's 1533-position model. The record is from RNAcentral.
CAGCCGCCGCGGUGACACGUAGGCACCAAGCGUUAUCCGGAUUUAUUGGGCGUAAAGAGCUCGUAGGCGGUUUGGUAAGUCGGGUGUGAAAACUUAGGGCUCAACCCUGAGAGGCCACUCGAUACUGCUAUGACUAGAGUACGGUAGGGGAGCGGGGAAUUCAUGGUGUAGCGGUGAAAUGCGCAGAUAUCAUGAGGAACACCAGCGGCGAAGGCGCCGCUCUGGGCCGUAACUGACGCUGAGGAGCGAAAGCAUGGGUAGCAAACAGGAUUAGAUACCCUGGUAGUCCAUGCCGUAAACGUUGGGCACUAGGUGUGGGUCUCAACCAACGAGAUCCGCGCCGUCGCUAACGCAUUAAGUGCCCCGCCUGGGGAGUACGGUCGCAAGACUAAAACUCAAAGGAAUUGACGGGGGCCCGCACAAGCAGCGGAGCGUGUUGCUUAAUUCGAUGCAACGCGAAGAACCUUACCUGGGUUUGACAUGUACCGAAAAGCUCUAGAGAUAGGGUGUCCUUCGGGGCGGUACACAGGUGGUGCAUGGCC